This 403-nucleotide ribosomal RNA is filed under the name uncultured bacterium. RNAcentral's name for it is "partial 16S ribosomal RNA". It matches the Rfam family "Bacterial small subunit ribosomal RNA", at positions 28 to 526 of the family's 1533-position model. The record is from RNAcentral.
GACGAACGCUGGCGGCGUGCCUAAUACAUGCAAGUCGAACGCAGUGGGGACGGGUGAGUAACACGUGGGUAACCUCCCAUCAGAGGGGAUACCACUUGGAAACAGGUGCUAAACCGAUACUGAUGGAUGGACCCGCGGUGCAUUAGCUACGUGGUGAGGUAACGGCGCACCAUGGCCACGAUGCAUAGCCGGCCUGAGAGGGUGAGCGGCCACACUGGGACUGAGAAACGGCCCAGACGCCUACGGGAGGCAGCAGUGGGGAAUAUUCGGCAAUGGACGAAAGUCUGACCUAGCAACGCCGCGUGAGUGAAGAAGGUUUUCGGAUCGUAAAACUCUGUUGGUAGAGAAGCGGUAUCUAACCAGAAAGCCACGGCUAACUACGUGCCAGCAGCCGCGGUAAUUC